UAAGGCAUGCAAGUCGAACGCUACCUUCGGGAAAGCGUGGCAAACGGGCUAGUAACACGUGGGAAUCUGCCCUAAAGACGGGGAUAACCCGGAGAAAUCCGGGAUAAUACCCGAUAAUCUCUUCGGAGUAAAGAUUUAUCGCUUUAGGAGGAGCCCGCGCACUAUCAGCUUGUUGGCGGGGUAAUGGCCCACCAAGGCUAUGACGGUUAAGGGGUGUGAGAGCAUGACCCCUAGCAUUGGCACUGAGACACUGGCCAAACACCUACGGGUGGCUGCAGUCGAGAAUCUUUCACAAUGGGCGAAAGCCUGAUGAAGCGACGCUGCGUGCGGGAUGAAGGCCUUCGGGUUGUAAACCGCUUUUGUAGGGGACGAAUCUUUUGAUGACGGUACCCUUUCGAAUAAGAGGUUGCUAACUCUGUGCCAGCAGCAGCGGUAAUACAGAGACCUCGAGCGUUAUCCGGAUUUACUGGGCGUAAAGCGUUUGUAGGGGGCUUGUCAAGUUCCAAGUAAAAUCUUAAGGCUCAACUUUAAGUUCGCUUGGAAAACUGAUAAGCUGGAGCUUAGCAGAGGCGCAUGGAACUUGCGGUGUAGGAGUGAAAUCCGUUGAUAUCGCAAGGAACACCAAAGGCGAAGGCAUUGCGCUAGGCUACAGCUGACCCUGAGAGACGAAAGCGUGGGGAGCAAAACGGAUUAGAUACCCGUGUAGUCCACGCCGUAAACGAUGGAUACUAGAUGUCCGGGGAUUC
RNAcentral lists this ribosomal RNA (746 nucleotides) under uncultured bacterium. RNAcentral describes it as "bacterial SSU rRNA". It matches the Rfam family "Bacterial small subunit ribosomal RNA", at positions 49 to 833 of the family's 1533-position model. The record is from RNAcentral.